GGCAGGAGCUGGUCAGAAUGAGUAACUUGCUUAUAAAAAGUCUCAAACUUCUCUGUCUGACUGGAUCCACCCAGAGAAAGUUCCUUCAAUUCCAUCAACACACACAAGAACUUCUUAACUACAGAAGUACCACUCAUGCCAGCCAUCAGAAAGGCAAAAGAAUGGGAAUGGAAGUGGCUGUUGGUGAAAACAAGGAGAACUUGCCUUCUCAUCAGCUGAAGGAUUUUCUGGGUCACCAUGGACUCUGUGCAUGGCUCACACCACGAGGCCCUCGGUCACAGCAGCGCAGGUGUGCUGGGCCCAGGGACAGGAGGGCAUGGUGGGGGAUGCAGGGUAACAUCUCUGGGACCUGCUGCCUGAAACUAGGUCACCUCCUGUGACAGUAGAAAUGACUCUCAGCACAGAUGGCAGGUGGGACCUGGGAGUGACCUUGCCCUGUGGUCAUUUUCUCAUGCAGAGGCUGAGCUGGUGCACUGCAGGCAGUUGUUUGGUGACACGUGCAGCAGGUGCUGCGCUCUGGCCACGUUGUUUCUACAGCCUGGGGAUGUCUGGGAAAGCCACUUUUGCCUUGUGGCAUAGUGUCUCCCCCUCCAGAGCAAGGCGGUGUCCUGCCACAGCUCAUCCCAGAAAACGACAGGUCCCUUUCCAUUCUGCUCUUCUCUCUUUUCCUUUCAUGCAGCCUGCUCUUGGGAAGGGCACCCCUUAGGAAAUAAUGGGGGGACACAGUCUGCUCCACCUCUCAGUCAUCAAAUUCAGAUCAGCACUUUGAGGCAAAGAAAAGCAAACCAUCACUUAUUGCACAGAGACAGCUGGAAAUGCUGCAAGGUCCUUUUAAAACUCACCAAUUUUGGUCAUGUCUAGUUAUUGCUGGGAAAAGCUCAAACAGUACAGUUAAUGUAGGUGCUUUUCUCAUCCAGCCUUAGUGGGCCAUUUUAAAUGCCUUAACUGAGCUCAAAAGUGGUGCUGUUUUCUCUCCCUUGAAAAUACAUUUAAAAGACAUUACAUUUGUUUGAGAACUUUGCUGAUUGACUCUAGGUAAAAAUAAGCACUGUCUUGUAUUACAUUGUUAUGUCACAUAAGCACCUUGCACAAUUACCUUAGCCCCAACAUAAUUUUAAUUAUGUUAGAAUUAGUGCAAAGAAUUUUAUCUGAGGCUCAUGUAAAUAUUUUGUGCUCUCAAUACUUUGAUGUACCUAGAAAGAGAUUAAUGUUUGCUUUGAUAAUUAGUCUGUUGCAUGUGGCCAAAAAUUCAUUACAAACACA
RNAcentral lists this long non-coding RNA (1263 nucleotides) under Serinus canaria (Common canary). RNAcentral's name for it is "lncRNA (ENSSCAG00000012126.1)". Lineage: Eukaryota; Metazoa; Chordata; Aves; Passeriformes; Fringillidae. The record is from RNAcentral.